This 1356-nucleotide long non-coding RNA is filed under the name Felis catus (domestic cat). Its description in RNAcentral is "lncRNA (ENSFCAG00000049767.1)". The record is from RNAcentral. Lineage: Eukaryota; Metazoa; Chordata; Mammalia; Carnivora; Felidae.
GUCUGGGGGGGGGGGGCUUGACAGAGCUCUCCCACCCCAGCCCGGCCCCUGUCCCAGCCUCGCCUUGGUCUGGGAACUGCUCAGCCAGUGUGACCAGACAGACCCCACCUGGACGCCAGGCCCUGCCCAUGUCUGAGCCACCGUCUUGUUUCUGUCUCAGUCCCAGACUCAGCAGCAACCUCGGGCCCAGGCACUGCCUCCCAGGUGGUGAAACUGAAGGCCCAGAGCAGUGAUGGGACUUGGCCCGGGUCCUGCUGAAAUUUCCCUGCCCGGCCUCCGGUCCUGCUAGCAGAGUGGACACCGACUGUUCCCAGGAAGGGCGCCUUCUGUGCAAGACAUUCGCCUUGCCUUCGUGAAGGAGAAAAAGGGGAAAGGGGCCCACAGGAAUGGAGCCUUUUCUCUCCCUGUCCCCGCCUUUCUUUCAGAGGGAUGCAAACCCACAGGUUUCCUGGGUGCUCCAUGGACACUUAGGGAACCAGUGGGCAGAUAAAGGACACAUAACCGGAUUCCCUACAGCACUGCCAGACUCCCAAGGCCCAGUGGACUCUUCUCUCUUCUUUGCCAUCAGGAGGAGUGUUCACACUGAGCAUUCCAUAAACUGCCUCCAACAGCUCCUGUUCAGCUGCUCAGUGGGUCCAGCUUUCCCAGGCCUGGCCCCUGGGUCAGAGCAGAAACAAGCAGACCUCAUGAGGGAAAAGCAGGAAGGAGGGACCUGAGUCCCCGUUCUAGACCCAAGAGGGAGAGAGCUUCCUCUGCAGCUCAAUGUGGGAGGAAUCCAAGGCAGUUGCGUGCAGACUACCUCCUUUCCGGAAGGUUCCUCCAGCCUAGUCCUUCAGCUUCCAUCCACCCCACCUCCCAGACCCCAGCUAAGUGAGAGUGGCUCCACAGCCUGCCCCAGGGAAGCCUCGCUCUGCAGGUAACUCUUCCAGGAUCUGGUCUGCCCCAAAGGACCAUAGUCCAGUGGUCAGAAGCAAGGGUUCACCAGAAGUUUCCACUUCUGAAUAGGAGAAGUAGAGUCCAGGGUGUUGGCUCUGCCCACACUGGGGUGGGGUUGGGUGGGGUCCAUUUAUUUAAUUUAGUCUCAAUGCUCAAAGAGAGGGGAGACUUAGAUAGUUACCCAGCUGUCACUAAGUGCAUCCAAGGGACACCAAAUACAGGAAGAACCAGCCUGAAGAAGCGACAUUCAGACAGAAGGAGGUGACCAAGGUGCACCGGAAGCUUCCAACCUGUCCUUAAUAAGGGGUUUCAGAGGAUGUGGCUGUUGUCCCCUGGAAAUGAGUUCAGUGACUGGGUCUAGACUCAAUCUGCUCGGCUCCUUAAAUAGAUGUAAAUAAAACAAGUGUCAGAGACGUUCCA